UCAUCAGUGAAGCCGAUCCUGAUGUUAUGGCUAUUGUUGGGCUAGGAGGGUUGGGCAAGACAACUCUGGCACAACUGGUCUUCAAUGAUGAGAAGGUGUGCCAGCAUUUUAGGAAGAGGAUAUGGGUCUGUGUUUCUGAUGAGUUUGAUGGCAAGAGACUCACAAGAUCAAUCAUAGAAUCAAUAACUGGGAGCGAGUGCAAUCUGAAAGAUAUGCACUCGUUGCAGAGGAUUCUAAGAGAACAACUCAGAGGGGAGAGGUUCUUGCUUGUUCUGGAUGAUGUAUGGAAUGAGGACCACGAGAAGUGGGACAGGUUGAGAGCUCUGCUCUCCGGUUGUGCCACGAGAGGAAGUAAGGUCAUUGUGACCACACGCAGUGCAAGAGUUGCUUCCAUUAUGGGCACCGUCUCACCGCACUUGCUGAACGGGUUAUCAGAUCAGGACUGCUGGGUUUUGUUCGAGAAGAGGGCGUUUGGGUUCGGUGGUGCAGUGAAGACACCGAACUUGGUGGCCAUUGGGAAGGAUAUAGUAAGCAAGUGCGCAGGGCUUCCUUUGGCUGCAAAAGCUCUAGGAAGCCUGAUGCGUUUCAGAAGAGGAGAAAGGGAAUGGGUGGCCGUGAAAGACAAUGAGAUUUGGAGAUUGCCUGAGCAUGAGAACCAGAUCUUGCCAUCAUUGAGGUUGAGCUACAAUCACUUGCCUUCACGCCUCAAGCCUUGCUUCGCCUACUGCUCUAUAUUCCCCAAGAACUAUGUGGUAAGGAAGGAGACACUGGUUCAGCUAUGGAUGGCAGAGGGCUUCUUGAUCCAUGAUUAUAAUUCAUUUGAGACUGAAGACAUUGGGAAUGGAUAUGUUGACGAGUUACUGGAAAGAUCACUCUUUCAAAAUGGCGAUGAAGACACUGAUGGGGUGGUGAGACAGGUAAAGAUGCAUGACCUCGUCCAUGACCUUGCUCACUCUGUUGCAGGUGAAGAGGGCUCUGUUGCUGAUGAAGCUUCAGGAUAUGCAUUUCGGGAAGGCUGUAGAUACUUGUCCUUCGUUUAUGACAGACCAAUAUCAGAGAGCAAGCCACUACCAUUUCUCAAUGAAGCAAACAAGUUGCGCAGCUUCUACUUCAUUGCAGAAGGAAACAUGAAGUACCUGCAACAAAACGGGGCACAAGUUUUCCGUUUAGAUGCAGAAGGAGGCAUGUUAGAGGCAGACAAUAACAAAGAGAAAGCAUCAAAGCCGGCAGAGCUUAGUGACAUCUUGUCCAGUCUAAAGCUCUUGCGUGCAUUGCAUCUAAACCGCUACCCACUGAUCAGAGAAAUUCCGGUUUUGAUAGGAAAGAUGAAACAUUUGAGAUACCUCGACCUCUCCAGCACCAUCAUUGAAGUUGUACCACCAUGCGUUGGCCUCCUUCAUAAUCUCCAGACUUUGAAUUUAUCUUGUUGCAGAGGGCUUCGGAUGUUGCCUGACUCUAUUGGUCAGCUCUCCAACCUAUUGACCUUGGACCUCGAAGGCUGCUCAAGUCUGCAGUCCUUGCCAGGUUCCAUUGGUUGCCUUAAGAAUUUAAGGAAGCUUGACUUGUCCUUGUCCCAGUAUGUUCAAGCAUUGCCUGCAUCUCUAAGCAGACUCUCCAACCUGCAAGAUUUGAGACUUAGACAUUGUUACAGUAUGCGUGACCUUCCAGUGAAGAUGAAGGAUAUGAAAAGCCUCAUUCAUCUGGAUAUUACUAGCUGUGUUGAGUUGACUUGCAUUCCUGCAGGAAUAGGACAGUUAAGUAGUCUGCGAACAUUGCCAAUAUUUAUAGUUGGUGGGAAGACCAAUUGCAGUCUCAAAGAAUUGGGCAGCCUAAGCAUUGAAGGUCAGCUGUAUAUAAAACAUCUUGAGAAUGUAACAAAUCCUCAUGAGGCUAAGGAGGCCAAUCUGAAGGAAAAACAGGGUCUUCGGUCACUAAGAUUAUCAUGGGAUAAGAAUGUAUACAGGGCACCAGGACAAUCCAGUGAUGAUAACCUGAGUGAUGAUGAAGAAUUUGGGAGUUAUGUGAUUGACUUUCUACUCUUGCAUAAUAUGGUUCCCGAAGCUGAUCUCGUGGAUGAUGUGCUUGAAAACCUUCAACCAGAUACAAACAUCAGUGAGUUGGAGAUUGAAGGAUAUGUGGGAAAGAAGUUCCCCACUUGGAUGAUGGACUUAUCACUGCUUCCCAAUCUGGUUGAUCUGACACUAGAUUCAUGUAUUAGAUGUGAGACUCUUCCACCACUGGGACAGCUUCCUCAUCUCAAAGUCCUCAGGCUCAGACUCCUUUGUGCAAUCAGGUGCAUAGACUCAUCUUUUUACGGAGGUCAUGCUGCAUUUCCCGUUUUAGAGGAAUUAAUGAUAUCAAUGAUGUUUAUGUUACAAGAGUGGUCUGGAACAAGUGAAGGAGAACUUUUUCCUUCUCUUACCAAGCUGACUCUUGGCUCAUGUCCAUUGUUGAGAGAGCUUCCAUCCAAUUUCCCCUCUGUUAAGCAUCUGAAUAUGAACAUGGAGGAUGAGCUGCUGUUGUCCAACCUUCAGGAAGGUGCAUUUCCUAAUCUCAAGCACUUACAUGUUGGGGAAUUUGAUGAGGACAGCAUACCUGAAGUGAUUUCUCUACUAAUGGAAUCUGUUGAGAGCUAUUCAGUAGAAUCGAAACCAAGGCCUCAAGAUGAUGAUCCUUUGGCAAUGUCAUCCUUAUGCUUUGCCAAGUACCCUGUGUAUGCUGGUACUACCAUUCUUCCUAUUUUCACGCCAAACAGGUUUUGAUCCUAAGAAGCUUAAGUUGGAGUUGGCUAGGUUUGUGAAACGCAAUAUUUUGUAUCAUAGUCUCAGCUCAGCAAUUAUCGGUCAGGAGCCUUUGCACAAGAGGAAGGCAUGAAAGAGGAUGAGUUACCAGAUUAGCACCGAGUAUGAUAUGUAUAUGUACUGUUUCCCCCCUGUUUUGUAUCUUGGUUGUUGUGGUUGCUUACUCCACUUCUGCAUGGUUGGUCUA
Dioscorea cayenensis subsp. rotundata (Guinea yam) is the source of this 2988-nucleotide RNA transcript. It is a transcript of the gene named putative disease resistance protein RGA3, with no coding region annotated. The record is from RefSeq and is a predicted model, not a curated record. The transcript is spliced from 2 exons. NCBI's taxonomy places the organism in Eukaryota, Viridiplantae, Streptophyta, Magnoliopsida, Dioscoreales, Dioscoreaceae.